This 3277-nucleotide long non-coding RNA is filed under the name Canis lupus familiaris (dog). RNAcentral describes it as "lncRNA (ENSCAFG00845026177.1)". Lineage: Eukaryota; Metazoa; Chordata; Mammalia; Carnivora; Canidae. The record is from RNAcentral.
UUAUCCCUGAGGGCUUUAUUCCUAGGAAAAGCUGUCAGAGAAAGACUGGCAUGUUUAAUUCUUUCAAAUCUGUUGAGAAAAUGGAAUGGUUUUGAAAAUUUACAGGGUCUUAUAUGAUUGUGACGUUCUAUUAUACUAUUAUGCUUACAGCCAGUUGCACAUAGAUAUAACCAGUUCACAAGAAUAAAAACAUAACAGGACUAUGGACAAUUGUUAGCCUUUCUGCCCACUAUACAAACAGCACUCUUCAUAUUUAAACACAUACACACAAAAAAUAUUUUAUUUUAAUUUUAAAAGGUAUACAUUAAAAUGGUAGUAUUUGUUAUCAAAUGUUUUAAAUUAUUUUUUAUUUUGUUGGAGAAGGAUCACAAAUAUGACUCAGGUCACAUUUUAUGUGCACCUACUGGUAUGAUAGGUUGUAUAUCCAUUUCUGGCUUACAUGAUUUCAACUAUGUAUCAUUUUGUUUAAAUGUAUAAUCUCUGAAUGACCAGGAACUUUCUCUUAUGGCAAUGACAGCUAAAAAUCAACACAAUUAAGAAAUUCCAUUUCAUUCUUCAUAGCCUUCCUACCCCAUCUGCCCACAGAUAAAUACCAAUAUUUUAUAUCAGACUUUUUUUUACCAUAAAAGUGUUAUAAAUAUUUUGUUUUCUUUUUGCAGUAGCCCUAACAAGUUAGGCAGCAUACUUCAAAAAGUAUCGGAGAUAAUGGAUAAGUCAAGCCAAGGGGAAGAGGGUCAUAUAAGGGGCAGAGAGAUUUAUUACUCUUGGCUUAACACAUAGAAAAACAAAAUAAAAUUACUAAAUAUGAUAAUAUCUAGGGGUAAUAUCAUCAUCCAUUGGACAGGAUUAAAAACUCAGUCCAUUCUAAUAUCACCUCACACCUGUCAAAACAGCUAAAAACAAAAUCACAGGAAACAACAGGCAUUGGCAAGGAUGUGCAGAAAAAGGAACCCUUGUGUACUGUUGCAGGGAAUACAAACUGGUGCAGCCACUGUGGAAAACACUACAGAGGUUUCCUAAAAAAUUAAAAAUAGAACCACCCAAAGACCCAAAAAAAUCACAUUACCCAGUAUUUAUCCAUAGAAUGCAAAAACAGUAACUCAAAGGGAUGCAUGCACCCCUAUGUGUAUUUCAGCAUGAUUUUUUUUUCUUUUUUUAAGAUUUUAUUUAUUUCACAGAGAGAGAGAGAUAGAGCACAAGUAGGCAGAGAGGCAGGAUUUUGGGAUCAUGACCUGAGCAGAAGGCUGUCUCUUAACCGACUGGACCAUCCAGGCACCUUUGCAGCAUUAUUGACAACAGUCAAAUUAUGGAAGCAGCACAAGUGUCCAUCAUCAACUGAUGAAUGCAUAAAGAAGAGGUGGUAUAUAUACACAAUGGAAUAUUAUUCAGUCAUAAAAAAAGAAUGAAAUCUUGCCAUGGAGCUAGAGAGUAUAAUGCCCAGCGAAAUAAGUCAGACAAAGAAAAAGAAAUACCAUAUGAUUUCACUCAUAUGUGGAAUAUAAGAAACAAAACAAAUGAGCAAAAGGGGAAAAAGAGAGACAAAGGGAGAGAAAGAGAGAAAGAGAGAGACAAUCCAAGAAACAGAUUCUUUCUCUAGAGAACUGAUGGUUACCAGACGGGAGGUGGGUGGGGCAAGGAGAGAAACAGGGGAUGAGGAUUAAAAAGUACAUAUUGUGAUGGGAGAGGAGUGGGGGUACUCUCAGUCAAUUAAAAACACAUACUUAAAGUCAGAGAAAACAAGAGAGAUGAAUAACACCCCAAAGUAUAGUUAGUGAGAAAAAAGAAUAGGAGCAUUAUACAUUUGCCAGUGAUACUAAUUGCACCCAGUUAAUAAAUAUCAUCAAAGCACAUUAUGAGAAGAUUUUUAAAUCAGGGUAAUUUAUUCAUGGGGCUGGAAGUUGAGAUGGAACUGGAAAGACUCUCCCAGGGAAGGAAUGGCAGGUGAACCAAGUUGUUUAAAAAACAAGAAGGCGUUGAAAAGGAAAUGUGAGUUGUUAUUAGUGCUAAUUACUGCAAGCAGAAAGUAUUAUGAAAAAAAGACUACAAAUUUCUCACUUGAGCCUCAGGCCAUGGGGAGCCAGUGACCCUAUUCAUAGGACACUUAAAAGAAUGACCAGAAUUGAGGAAUUAGGGGCUGGAGACACUGGAAUAAAGAUGCUGGUUAGGAAACAAUGAGAUCAUCCCCAAGUAUAAAUGGAGAAGGAGAACAUGUAAGAAAGAAACUGUCAGUAGCUAGACUCUUUAAACAUCACCCUGAUUUAGUGACUGACCGGAAUAAUCAACACCUCAACACUAUGCGGUGAAUACAAUGUGCCUCCUCCAGUUGUAAGAAGUCAGAUGAUUACUAAGCAGAAAGCAAAAUGUAGUUACUUCAGCCUGGUCUUAAAAAUUACUUUUGGCUCAGAUCUGUGCAGUGUGCAUAAAAACCUUCCUGCCAUUAAGAAAAUUUGAACUUGUUCUUCAUGAUUUCCAUGUUAAGACUGCUGAUUGAGGGAAGCCUGGGUGGCUCAGCGGUUUAAUGCCACCUUCAGCCCAGGAUGUGAUCCUGGGGUCCUAGGAUCAAGUCUCAUGUCCCGCUCCCUGCAUAGAGCCUUCUCCUCCCUCUGCCUGUGUGGCCUCUCUUUCUCUGUGUCUCUCAUGAAUAAAUAAAUAAAAUCUUAAAAAAAAAAAAAAAAGACGACUGAUUGAUAUUGAUUGGUUGGUCAAUUGGGCUGUAUGGUUGAGAGAGAACUAUAAACACAGGAUCCUGUCUGAUAUUUUACCAUCCUGAAGUGUCAUUCUGCUCUGUUGGGAUUUUUUCUAAACCUGGGUUUGGCCACUAUAAUUGACAGACCAUCUUUGUGCAGCAAAAGAGCAUCAGAAACCCAAACAUGAGCAUUCCAAGAGAUCCUCACAGGGAGACCAUCCUAGGCAUGUGGUUAGUAGUAAAAUAUAGUGACUGGGAAUGAGCUUCCUGCACUAUCACUUCCUGGUGCAGAGAGUACACUAAAAUGUCUUUAGUCUUCUUUACUUAUGAUUUGACUGUAUCAAAAAUUGGGGGAGAUGGAAAAAGAUUGUAAUAAGUUCUGAUGCCCUUGAAAAGAAAAAUCAAGGCCUGUCCUAGGGAAAGGAAUUUGAAAACUAAUUCCUAGGUCAUUGAUUAAAUCAUGUUUAAUUGUGUCUGAAGCAUUACAAAGGGCUUGUGAAAUAGAUAACUCACAAAGGACCUACAAGGGAAUCAUAUAAAUUCUACUAUCAUGCUGGCUGAGCCUAAAAAUGAAACCAAGAACUCCACUCC